CCCGCUGAACUUAAGCAUAUCAAUAAGCGGAGGAAAAGAAACCAACCGGGAUUACCUCAGUAACGGCGAGUGAAGCGGUAACAGCUCAAAUUUGAAAUCUGGCCUCGGCCCGAGUUGUAAUUUGUAGAAGAUGCUUCGGGUGUGGCUCCGGUCUAAGUUCCUUGGAACAGGACGUCAUAGAGGGUGAGAAUCCCGUAUGUGACUGGGUGCCUCCGCCUGUGUGAAGCUCUUUCGACGAGUCGAGUUGUUUGGGAAUGCAGCUCAAAAUGGGUGGUAUAUUUCAUCUAAAGCUAAAUAUUGGCCAGAGACCGAUAGCGCACAAGUAGAGUGAUCGAAAGAUGAAAAGCACUUUGGAAAGAGAGUUAAACAGUACGUGAAAUUGUUGAAAGGGAAGCGUUUGCAACCAGACUUGCGCGCUGCCGAUCAUCCGGUGUUCUCACCGGUGCACUCGGUUGCGUUCAGGCCAGCAUCGGUUUGGGUGGCUGGAUAAAGGCCUUGGGAAUGUAGCUUCUUUCGGGGAGUGUUAUAGCCCUGGGUGCAAUGCAGCCUACCUGGACCGAGGACCGCGCUUCGGCUAGGAUGCUGGCGUAAUGGUUGUAAACGACCCGUCUUGAAACACGG
Molecule: ribosomal RNA, 621 nt
Filed under: uncultured fungus
Lineage: Eukaryota; Fungi
Description: eukaryotic LSU rRNA
Rfam family: Eukaryotic large subunit ribosomal RNA
Source: RNAcentral